GACGAACGCUGGCGGCGUGCUUAACACAUGCAAGUCGAACGGUGAAGGGACCGGUUUUUGCUGGUUCUGGAUGAGUGGCGCACGGGUGAGUAACACGUGAGUAACCUGCCCCCUUCUUCUGGAUAACCGCAUGAAAGUGUGGCUAAUACGGGAUAUUCUGCGCCUGCUGCAUGGUGGGUGUGGGAAAGAUAUUGUUUCGGUGGGGGAUGGGCUCGCGGCCUAUCAGCUUGUUGGUGGGGUGAUGGCCUACCAAGGCGGUGACGGGUAGCCGGCCUGAGAGGGUGGACGGUCACACUGGGACUGAGACACGGCCCAGACUCCUACGGGAGGCAGCAGUGGGGAAUAUUGCACAAUGGGCGCAAGCCUGAUGCAGCGACGCCGCGGGAGGGAUGGAGGCCGUCGGGUUGUAAACCUCUUUCGCCAGUGAAGCAGGCCUGUCCCUUUUGUGGGUGGGUUGACGGUAGCUGGAUAAGAAGCGCCGGCUAACUACGUG
RNAcentral lists this ribosomal RNA (493 nucleotides) under uncultured bacterium. RNAcentral's name for it is "partial 16S ribosomal RNA". It matches the Rfam family "Bacterial small subunit ribosomal RNA", at positions 28 to 507 of the family's 1533-position model. The record is from RNAcentral.